RNAcentral lists this ribosomal RNA (497 nucleotides) under uncultured bacterium. RNAcentral's name for it is "partial 16S ribosomal RNA". It matches the Rfam family "Bacterial small subunit ribosomal RNA", at positions 28 to 507 of the family's 1533-position model. The record is from RNAcentral.
GAUGAACGCUGGCGGCGUGCCUAAUACAUGCAAGUCGAGCGAACAGACGAGGAGCUUGCUCCUUUGACGUUAGCGGCGGACGGGUGAGUAACACGUAGGUAACCUACCUAUAAGACUGGGAUAACUUCGGGAAACCGGAGCUAAUACCGGAUAAUAUUUCGAACCGCAUGGUUCGAUAGUGAAAGAUGGCUUUGCUAUCACUUAUAGAUGGACCUGCGCCGUAUUAGCUAGUUGGUAAGGUAACGGCUUACCAAGGCAACGAUACGUAGCCGACCUGAGAGGGUGAUCGGCCACACUGGAACUGAGACACGGUCCAGACUCCUACGGGAGGCAGCAGUAGGGAAUCUUCCGCAAUGGGCGAAAGCCGGACGGAGCAACGCCGCGUGAGUGAUGAAGGUCUUCGGAUCGUAAAACUCUGUUAUUAGGGAAGAACAAACGUGUAAGUAACUGUGCACGUCUUGACGGUACCUAAUCAGAAAGCCACGGCUAACUACGUG